UAGCCUUACAAUUUCUUUAGAAAUGACCAA
RNAcentral lists this non-coding RNA (30 nucleotides) under Mus musculus (house mouse). Lineage: Eukaryota; Metazoa; Chordata; Mammalia; Rodentia; Muridae. The record is from RNAcentral.